RNAcentral lists this long non-coding RNA (348 nucleotides) under Callithrix jacchus (white-tufted-ear marmoset). RNAcentral describes it as "lncRNA (ENSCJAG00000076529.1)". Lineage: Eukaryota; Metazoa; Chordata; Mammalia; Primates; Cebidae. The record is from RNAcentral.
CAUAGCAUCAUUGCUAUCCAAUCUCUCGAAUCCACAACAAAAUGUGGCUAGAAAUGCUUAGUGCAGUCUCCCAAGGCAAACAUUGCUGUGAUGAGUGACAAACUGAAACAACGGGAGCUGCUCCUGUUGCCAUGGAAACAAGCCUUUCCAUCUGAGUCGUUCAAUCCCAGUAUUCAAAAUCUCAAGCUUUGCAAAGAUGCAGUAAGACAAAGGAUGAUGAAGAAUGAAGGGACGGGGGAUGAAAAGGGCAAGGUGGAAAUUCAGGUGAUUGUGAAGUCAAUGGCGAUGAAUGAAAAAACAAGAAUAUGCUUUAAACUAGGAUUCAUCAUAGACUUGUGCAUUCCAUAG